GGAAAAUAAGAAAAGUCGUGGCGCUCGGCUUUGCACGAAAGCAUUUUUUCGAUAUUGUUUUGACAGAAUGUCAACAUAUUUGUGCCAGUUUUGGAAUCGCCAGCAUUUUCUGUUGUGUUGUGGUGUUUUCCGGUAAUAGCGAGAGGUGCCCGUGUGUGAUGAUGUGUGGAGGCACGUAGAGGCAGGUCGAGGCACAUGCGGUGCUCUGGCAUUUUUCUGCGUGAUGUUUCUUCCCUAUGAGUAUUUUUUUAAUUUUUUUUACAGUAUUAUUUCUUUCUAUUUUUCUGUUUUUGUACACAGUUUAGGGAUACAAAAUGGUAUCCAAAAAGUAUAAGGUAAAAAUAUUUGAUGGUAAAACGAGUUUCAGCUUAUGAAAAAUUAGAAUGAGUUCAUUUUUUGUACUACAAGGAUUAUGGAAGGCAGUUGAAGAAAGAUUCCCAUAUGGUAUGAGAAAGACAAAAAGACAGAUAUGCAAGAUAGAACCCUAUGUGUGAUUUUCUUGAGUGUAACUGAUAAUAUUCUACGGAAAAUUAUUGGGGAAG
Molecule: long non-coding RNA, 542 nt
Filed under: Carica papaya (papaya)
Lineage: Eukaryota; Viridiplantae; Streptophyta; Magnoliopsida; Brassicales; Caricaceae
Description: long non-coding RNA (CPAP_LNC003412)
Source: RNAcentral